GGUCGGCACACUAUUUUAUUUAUUUAGUUAUUUUCUCCCUGUACUGCUGGCUUGGCUUGUUCAUUUAAAAUACCGUCUUCUUUCUUUAUUGCUUGUUUUAUCUCCUAAAAGGUCUUUCAUAUACUGUCUUGACUGGAAAAUACAGAACAACUAUCCAGACUGAAAAGAAAAUACAAUGAUAUUCCAUACAAUGAUACUCUUGAACUCUAUCCUCUUUUAUCUACACAGAUCAUAACAUUACAGAAUUUCAGCACCCUCCACUGCCCUGCCAAGUGCCUAGGUGGCAGUUAGUUAGCAGUGGUCACAAUGUAUCCCUUCCCAAUUGGAUCUUUGACUUCCCACUGUCCAUAUUUUAGCGAUAUGAGGUUUGCUAUUCAAGAGGAGUAAAGUAGAAUUAAUAAUCUUAAGCAGUUGAAUUACUGACAAUCGUUUUAAAAGUUUGCCUUAGGGCUUCAUAUUAGGUUUUUAGUGGAUCGUUGUUUCUUCUUUUAUUCUUUUCUCUGUUGCACUUUUCCUACCAUUAAGAGAAGAGUACAUAGCUUUUAUUUCUAAGCAUUAAACAAUGAUCCAGGGGAGUUUUUUGAUUGAGUAAAUUGGAUUCAGUUAAUGACUUCGGAGAUUGUUGAAAUUACAGCAAUCUCCAAAUUUGGCUGACUUUGGAUUGGAGAAGAAUUUACAAACCUACACGUUGGACUGAAAAAUCCUAAGUCUCCAUUCUCCUAUCUGAAUUUGAGGAGAGGUGAGUCUUGUCAGGAAAGCCUAUAAGAGAUUUUAGUUUCUUACCAAGAAAAUACAGGAUCCUUAACGGGAUAAAAGCCUCAUAUGGCAGGUAACGUAGAUGAUGAAACCUCACUAUACGUUAUUUGGUCAUUUAAGAGAUUGUCCAAUUUAAAGAGCUAUCUUUAAGAAAUAUCCUUCAAAAAGUCCUUACUCUAGAUGGAUUUUUUUUGAAAAAAAAAAAUUCUUCGUAAAAGCCUUGGUGAUUUUAUUUUGUUGAAAAUUCGGUAUCCGGCCCAAGGAUAACCUUGGUAAUUUUUAAUACAUAUAGAGAACUUCAAAUGAUGGGAUAAAGCUUUGCUGAUACUGUUAUUUUUGCACGAAAAGAAUACAUGAGUAGUUGAUACUUGAUAGAUAACAUAACAGAGACAAGAAAAGCCCCAAAGAUAGGAAUAAGUUUCAAAUCUUAAUAUUAGAUAUUUGAGUCAUCACCUGAAUUGAAAUAUUUUGGCUUGUGGAUUAGCACCCAAUUAAUUAAGGGUCUGCUAGGAGACCUGACGACUUCCAAAAUCAUAGAAAAAAAAAUCCUUUUAUCCUAGUUUAACCACUAUUAGCCGCAUUGAUUCUCAAAUCAGACAUUACCUCAAUGAAUCUAAGAAUAGAAAGAACAUUAACAAAACUUCGCUUUCCUCUUUCAAUAAGAGGAUAGUAUUAUUUGCAAACUGUGGGUGAGAGACCAUGAUCUCAUCUUUAGCCUGCUUUGCUGCCCUUGAUCAAUUCCUGUCAAAACCUUUGGAAAUUGUUCAAUCGAAAACAUGUACUACUAGAAUUAACAAGAAUGGAGAUAAAGAAUUCCUGGCCUAAAUCUGCAACAUCAAUAAUAUUGCCUAUCAUAUCAUUUUCUACACUUCACUAUAAGUAAAGAAUUGUUUGUUUCACAACAAUUCUUCUGUUUUACCGUUACUCAUGAAUAUUUUUCAAAAAAUACAGUGCUGUUCAUUAUUCCAACAAAUCUGGUGCAUUUCGCUCCCCACCAUUAUUUUUUAAAUAAGCAUACUUUAAGAUUGUGUUUUUUUUGCAUAUAUUGAACACACGCACAUAGAAUCAUUAUAUACACGCCAUUGAUGAUGGACAAGUUUAUUUGUAGGUUG
RNAcentral lists this long non-coding RNA (1868 nucleotides) under Medicago truncatula (barrel medic). RNAcentral describes it as "long non-coding RNA (MTRU_LNC003746)". Lineage: Eukaryota; Viridiplantae; Streptophyta; Magnoliopsida; Fabales; Fabaceae. The record is from RNAcentral.